UCAGAUCUAACUCUUCCAGCUCA
Molecule: microRNA, 23 nt
Filed under: Limulus polyphemus (Atlantic horseshoe crab)
Lineage: Eukaryota; Metazoa; Arthropoda; Merostomata; Xiphosura; Limulidae
Also listed under: 1 other name
Description: Lpo-Mir-750-P4_3p (mature (guide))
Source: RNAcentral